RNAcentral lists this ribosomal RNA (497 nucleotides) under uncultured bacterium. RNAcentral's name for it is "partial 16S ribosomal RNA". It matches the Rfam family "Bacterial small subunit ribosomal RNA", at positions 28 to 507 of the family's 1533-position model. The record is from RNAcentral.
GAUGAACGCUGGCGGCGUGCCUAAUACAUGCCAGUCGAGCGAACAGACGAGGAGCUUGCUCCUCUGACGUUAGCGGCGGACGGGUGAGUAACACGUGGAUAACCUACCUAUAAGACUGGGAUAACUUCGGGAAACCGGAGCUAAUACCGGAUAAUAUAUUGAACCGCAUGGUUCAAUAGUGAAAGACGGUUUUGCUGUCACUUAUAGAUGGAUCCGCGCCGCAUUAGCUAGUUGGUAAGGUAACGGCUUACCAAGGCAACGAUGCGUAGCCGACCUGAGAGGGUGAUCGGCCACACUGGAACUGAGACACGGUCCAGACUCCUACGGGAGGCAGCAGUAGGGAAUCUUCCGCAAUGGGCGAAAGCCUGACGGAGCAACGCCGCGUGAGUCAUGAAGGUCUUCGGAUCGUAAAACUCUGUUAUUAGGGAAGAACAAAUGUGUAAGUAACUAUGCACGUCUUGACGGUACCUAAUCAGAAAGCCACGGCUAACUACGUG